UUAUUUAUUUGUUUAUUUUAUUUUAUUUUAUUUUAUUUUAUUUUAUUUUAUUUUAUUUUAUUUUAUUUUAUUUUAUUUUAUUUUAUUUUAUUUUAUUUUAUUUUNUUUUAUUUUAUUUAUUUUUUUCUCUGGUUUGGUCUGGUUUGGUCUGGUUUGAUUUGGUUUGCUUUGGUUUAUUUAAUUAAUACACCAGUAAGUUGGAAGCUUGAGCCAUUUGGCCUGAGACAAUGAACCAGAGGAUAUGUGGGGAUUCUGGGGUUUAUGGCAGCCUAUCUUAGGAAAGAAAAUUUACUUGUCUCUUCAGAAAAUGCAGUUUUUUUGGACUUUGCUUUGUCUCAGAACUCAAUCGUGUCUUUAAAUAGCUUUAUCUGAGUAUCUGUAUGCCAGUUGUAAUGAACAUUCAUACUUAGAAAACAGUCCAAGUCCAAAAACGUACAAGAAAGUGUCAUAACAGAGAAGUUUUAGAUGGUUGUCUAGAUAAGAAACAGGUGAGUUUUGAUUAAUCACACAGUUUAUAUCCUUGGUUUCACAGCAAGGCCUGUCCAUGAAGGAGAAGCCAAGUGCUCUGUGAGAUCUGCUUUCCUUCAGAAGGAGCUAUGGGUUUGGGAUCAGGAGUUAUCUGUGAGGGGCACCUGCUAGUCUGUUACUUGGAGAAUAGGUCUCCAUGGCACAGAGACUGAGGAUGCAGGCUGGCCUGACUGAACUAUAACAGAAAUAGAGAUGCUCUUGUGGCAAGACAUACAGAAUUUGGGACUGUUUUGCAUUUCUUGUAGCAAGUUGUUCUGAUUUUCCACUUGUGUGUUUGAAACCUGGCUCACUGACAUGAGAAAAUUUUCUUGUACGUGCAGUCAGUUUGUCUCCUUCUGGUCAGCAUGUCUGCAAGAGAGUGAGGAGCAGCAACAUGUGACGGUCGGACACUUUGAGCGUUUUGAUGUGUAACUAAAUUUAUUGUGGAGCUGCAACUGAAGAUGUCCUGACACAGAGCAAGAGAGAAGAUUGCAUUACAACAAAAUAAAAACAAUCUCUUUCUCA
Molecule: long non-coding RNA, 1032 nt
Filed under: Parus major (Great Tit)
Lineage: Eukaryota; Metazoa; Chordata; Aves; Passeriformes; Paridae
Description: lncRNA (ENSPMJG00000002911.1)
Source: RNAcentral